Molecule: long non-coding RNA, 494 nt
Filed under: Mytilus galloprovincialis (Mediterranean mussel)
Lineage: Eukaryota; Metazoa; Mollusca; Bivalvia; Mytilida; Mytilidae
Source: RNAcentral
GCGUUGUCAGUCGUUAAUUUUGUGUAUUUAAACAUAAAGAUUUAAUUGAUAAGUUAUUAAAUAAGGUGAUAUUAAUUUUCACAUAAUUUCUAUAUUGUGUGACUAAUAAAUAUAGAUUAUAACAUGCCCUUUUCCAUAUUGGCCCUGGUAUCAUCCCGAGACUCCCAUAUCGGCCUCGAGGCUCGAGACGUCAUGUCAUUUGGAAUCACGGCACAAUAACCAAGAACCUCUUUUUUGCCCCGGGCAAUUUUGAGGUUAUUGCAUAUGCAAAACCCAAUGCAUUCGUAACAAAUAUGUAAUAAUAUACAACUACUGUCUUUUCGUGGGGUAAAUAUGUGGUUUUAUUGACUUUUGAAAAACAGAUAUUCACUGAGUGUUUUCGAGUCAAUUAAACCACAUAUUUUACCGAAUCAAAUGACAGUAAUUGAUUUAUUCCAUGCAUGUCGUGAGGGAGGAAAAAUGUAGAAAAUAACAAUUAUUUACCAAAAACCAAC